GUCCUCUCACUAUGGCACCUGGAGAGUUUCCAAUACUCUACCGGUCUCGGCUACGGGAGGGAAAGUCAAACAGAGGCAUACCCAUUCCACUCCCAGCUUGGUCAGUGGCUAGCAAGUGGAAGGCCAUCUGCUACAAGU
Ornithorhynchus anatinus (platypus) is the source of this 138-nucleotide small nucleolar RNA. The record is from RefSeq and is a predicted model, not a curated record. NCBI's taxonomy places the organism in Eukaryota, Metazoa, Chordata, Mammalia, Monotremata, Ornithorhynchidae.